AGUGAACGCUGGCGGUAGGCCUAACACAUGCAAGUCGAACGGCAGCACAGUAAGAGCUUGCUCUUACGGGUGGCGAGUGGCGGACGGGUGAGGAAUACAUCGGAAUCUACUUUUUCGUGGGGGAUAACGUAGGGAAACUUACGCUAAUACCGCAUACGACCUACGGGUGAAAGCAGGGGAUCUUAGGACCUUGCGCGAUUGAAUGAGCAGAUGUCGGAUUAGCUAGUUGGCGGGGUAAAGACCCACCAAGGCGACGAUCCGUAGCUGGUCUGAGAGGAUGAUCAGCCACACUGGAACUGAGACACGGUCCAGACUCCUACGGGAGGCAGCAGUGGGGAAUAUUGGACAAUGGGCGCAAGCCUGAUCCAGCCAUACCGCGUGGGUGAAGAAGGCCUUCGGGUUGUAAAGCCCUUUUGUUGGGAAAGAAAAGCAGCAGGUUAAUACCCCGCUGUUCUGACGGUACCCAAAGAAUAAGCACCGGCUAACUUCGUG
RNAcentral lists this ribosomal RNA (492 nucleotides) under uncultured bacterium. Its description in RNAcentral is "partial 16S ribosomal RNA". It matches the Rfam family "Bacterial small subunit ribosomal RNA", at positions 29 to 507 of the family's 1533-position model. The record is from RNAcentral.